RNAcentral lists this ribosomal RNA (253 nucleotides) under uncultured bacterium. RNAcentral describes it as "partial 16S ribosomal RNA". It matches the Rfam family "Bacterial small subunit ribosomal RNA", at positions 524 to 776 of the family's 1533-position model. The record is from RNAcentral.
UACAGAGGUGGCAAGCGUUGUUCGGAAUUACUGGGCGUAAAGGGCGCGUAGGCGGUCUGGUAAGUCCCGUGUGAAAUCCCUCGGCUCAACUGAGGAAUGGCACGGGAAACUGCUUGGCUUGAGUUCGGGAGAGGGAAGCGGAAUUCCGGGUGUAGCGGUGAAAUGCGUAGAUAUCCGGAGGAACACCGGUGGCGAAGGCGGCUUCCUGGACCGACACUGACGCUGAGGCGCGAAAGCUAGGGGAGCAAACGGG